CGAACGCUGGCGGCGUGCCUAAUACAUGCAAGUCGAACGCUUCUUUUUCCACNCGGAGCUUGCUCCACCGUGAAAAAGAGGAGUGGCGAACGGGUGAGUAACACGUGGGUAACCUGCCCAUCAGAAGGGGAUAACACUUGGAAACAGGUGCUAAUACCGUAUAACAAUCGAAACCGCAUGGUCUUGAUUUGAAAGGCGCUUUCGGGUGUCGCUGAUGGAUGGACCCGCGGUGCAUUAGCUAGUUGGUGAGGUAACGGCUCACCAAGGCCACGAUGCAUAGCCGACCUGAGAGGGUGAUCGGCCACAUUGGGACUGAGACACGGCCCAAACUCCUACGGGAGGCAGCAGUAGGGAAUCUUCGGCAAUGGACGAAAGUCUGACCGAGCAACGCCGCGUGAGUGAAGAAGGUUUUCGGAUCGUAAAACUCUGUUGUUAGAGAAGAACAAGGAUGAGAGUAACUGUUCAUCCCUUGACGGUAUCUAACCAGAAAGCCACGGCUAACUACGUGCCAGCAG
Molecule: ribosomal RNA, 515 nt
Filed under: uncultured Bacilli bacterium
Lineage: Bacteria; Bacillati; Bacillota; Bacilli
Description: bacterial SSU rRNA
Rfam family: Bacterial small subunit ribosomal RNA
Source: RNAcentral